Molecule: ribosomal RNA, 210 nt
Filed under: Triticum aestivum (bread wheat)
Lineage: Eukaryota; Viridiplantae; Streptophyta; Magnoliopsida; Poales; Poaceae
Description: partial small subunit ribosomal RNA
Source: RNAcentral
AUGAGGUUUAUUUAUGUUCCAGCACCACAUAAUGCAGAAGUGAUAGCUGAGCAGCUGCAUGAAUCAUUGGUUGAAUGGAAUCUUGAUGAAAAGCUCUUGACUGUGACCGUUGAUAAUUGCAACGCCAAUGACAAGGCAAUUGCGGAGAUUGUGGGGCGGAUUGGAAAAAGUAAGCUUCUUUGUGAAGGUACUUUACUUCACAUGCAUUGA